This 4939-nucleotide long non-coding RNA is filed under the name Sus scrofa (pig). RNAcentral describes it as "lncRNA (ENSSSCG00015052713.1)". Lineage: Eukaryota; Metazoa; Chordata; Mammalia; Artiodactyla; Suidae. The record is from RNAcentral.
AAGAGGUUCCUGAGCCAGGGGUCAAACUUGUGCCACAGUAGUGGCCUGAGACUGCAGUAACAACUGCCAGAUCCUGAAAAUCCACUGCACCACAAGGGAAAUUCAAACUCCCUGAAAAUGUUUAAUAAUUUAUUAUGCAAUGUUUAAAAACGGAAGAAAAAUUAUAAAUUUGUUUUAAACCUCUCUUUAAAAAAAAAACCAAAAACUUGGUUUAUCACUUUCCGAUUCAGAAAUUCAGAGGCAUGUCUUAAGGAGAAUGUGAUUUAGUACUUCAUUAAACAGUUGCCCUUGGCAGAGCUUUCUUGCCUGCCCACUUGGAUUUCUCACAACCGUCCUAUCCUAAUAAAUCUGUUUCUUGCCUAAUAAAAUAAAAUAAAAUAAAAUAAACAGUCGCCCUUGCUGAAAACAUCCUUACAUAGAAAGACAGAUAUUUAUUUAUUUAUUUAUUAUUUUGCUUUUUGGUGCCGUACCCACAGCUUUUAGAGAUUCCCAGGCUAGGGGUCUAAUCAGAGCUGUUGCUACUGGUCUACACCACAGCCACAGCAAUGCCAGAUCUGAGCCGCAUCUGUGACCUACACCGCAGCUCACGGCAACACCAGAUCCUUAACCCACUGAGCAAGGCCAGGGAUCGAACUCGCAACCUCAUGGUUCCUAGUCAGAUUUGUUUCCACUGGGCCACGGUGAGAACUCCAACAAUUCUUAAUUGUACAAAUAUAGGAGUAUAGUGUACAGAUAAAAGAGAUUUUAGAGGUUUCUCUUUUUAAAUUUUUUGUUGGAUUUCAUCAACAAAGAUAAAUUUUACUGUAUGUAAAAAUUAAAAUAAAAAAAUCCAGUGAUUCUUGACAAGUACGUCGAUAGUCUUAUGCACGGCUGAAAUCAAGAUGAGAAGAUAGUCCCAUCUCCCCUAUUACCAUUUUGUUGCCAGACUCUCCCCUUGCCCUUUAACCUUUGGCAACCAGUGAUUGUUUUUAGCCUAAAGCAUUUCAAACACAUCCAUGUUGUUAUGUGCAUUAACCAUUCCUUUUAUUAUAAAACACUUAUUAUAUGGAUGUACGUUUGCUUAUCCAUCUACCAAGUGAGAGAUACUUAGGCUGUUUCCAGUUUGGAUGAUUUUGAACAAAGCCAUGAAAACGUUUUUGUGGGAACACUAUGGUUUCCAUUUCACUUGGGCAAUUGAAACUGCCAAACUCUUAACCAAGUGUCUCUGCCAUUUUGCAGGGUCUGAGUUCCAGUUGCUGCACAAUCUUUUUUUUUUUUUUUUUAGGGCCAUACCUGUGGUAUAUGGACGUUCCCAGGCUAGGGAUUGAAUCAAAACUGCAGCUGCCAGUAUAGCCAUAGCCAUAGCAAUGCGGGAUCUGAGCCGCAUCUGUGAUCUACACCACAGCUCACAGCAACACCUGAUCCUUAACCAUUGAGCAAGGCCAGGGAUUGAACCUGCAUCCUCAUGGAUACUAUGCACUUGUCUAGUCCACUGAGACACAACUGGAAAUUUGCUACACAUUCUUGACAGCACGUAGUUUUGUCAGUCACAAUAAAUAAAUAAAUUAAUUAAUUAAUUAAUUAAUUCAGAGUUCCUACUGUGGCACAGUGGGUUAGGAAUCCAACUGUAGCAGCUUGGCUUGCUGUGGAGGCAUGAGUUCAAUCCCAGCCUGAUGCAGGGGGUUAAAGGAUCCCGUGUUGCUGCAGUGGUGUAGGUCACAGCUGAAGCUCAGAUUUGAUCCCUGGCCUGGAAACUCCAUAUACCGUGGAUGUGGCCAUAAAAAAAUUUUUUUUGACCGUUCUGAUAGGUGUAUAGUGGUGUAGUGAGUGAUACCUGUUUUUAAUUUACAUUCCCCUAAUGAAUAGUGAUGUUGCGUCUUUUCGUGUGCCUAUUUUCCAUCUGUUUCUCUUUGGUGAAGUCUUUUCAGAUCUUUUGACCAUUUUAAAAAUUGUGUUUCUUAUUUUAUUACUGAAUUUUGAGAGUUCGUUAUAGGUUUUAUUUUUUAUUUUUAUUUAUUUAUUUUUUAUUAUUUUGUCUUUUUGCUGUUUCUUGGGCCGCUCCCGUGGCAUAUUGGAGGUUCCCAGGCUGGGGGUCUAAUCGGAGCUGUAGCCACCGGCCUACACCAGAGCCACAGCAACGCAGGAUCCGAGCCAUGUCUGCAACCUACCCGACAGCUCACGGCAACGCCAGAUCCUUGACUCACUAAGCAAGGCCAGGGAUCGAACCCGCAACCUUAUGGUUCCUAGUCAGAUUCGUUAACCACGGAGCCACAACAGGAACUCCCCGUUAUAUGUUUUAGAUACAAGUUCUUUGUUACAUAACUGGUUUGUGGAUAUUUUUUUUCCAGACUGUAGCUUAUCUUUUCAUUCUCUGUAAAGUGUUUUUCAGAACAGAAGUUUAAAAUUUUGAUAAUUCAAUUUAUCCCUUUUUAAAAAUAAAUUGUAUUAAAUUGUAGUAACUAAGAAACCUUUUAUUUUCUGUUUUUUGUCUUUUUAGGGCCGCUCCCACAGCAUAAGGGGGUUCCCAGGCUAGAGGUUGAAUCAGAGCCAUCGCUGCUGUCCUACACCACAGCCACAGCAAUCCCAGAUCUGAGCUGCAUCUGCAACCUACACCACAGCUCACAGCAAUGCCGGAUCCUUAACCCACUGAGCAAGGCUGGGGAUUGAACCUGCAUCCUCAUGGAUGAUAGUCAGCUUCGUUUCCACUGAGCCAUGUCGGGAACUCCUAAGAAAUCUUUUCUAACACAAAGUUACAAAGAUUUUCUUCUGCAUUUUCUUCUAAAUGUCAUCCAUUUUGGAUUAAUUUUUAUAUCUGCAUACCAACUUUAAAUUAAGAGCUCACAUAAACUGAAAAUACUGCUAAAUACCAGUUUUUGCCAUAGCGCAAGUUCUGCUUCCAUUCCCUGUUACAAUGCUGCCUUUACUUUGAAGGGACAGAUUUAGUGUGUUUAUUUUUUGGAAAAUAUUGUGAAGUCAAUAUUUUUUUUUGUCAGCUCUUUUUUACCACGAAGGCCAGAGAGUUUGGAGUGCUCAUCUUUUUUUUUACAUUUUUAAAGUACGUUGAUGUAAAUGAAUCUUUUUGGGGGAAUUAUAUCCCAUUACAAAAAAUUGCAAGGAUCCUGCUGUUUAAAGGUUGGGUUUUUACAAUAUCAGUCUCAUUAUUGACAUUUUAAAGCACAGAAACAACAGUAUUCAUGAUGAUUUGAAAACAAAGGCGGAGGAAGAGUGCCGCUGUUACCUGCCCUACACCCUGACUCGCACACAGUGAGAGCCCCACUCUUCCUUCUAGACACCUGUACACACAUGACACAUUAUAGUCCAGGGGAGAGAUGGGUAGCACUCCAUAUACUAUGACUGUUGGGUGAAUUUUUUUUUUUGUUUUUAUGGCUGCCCCUAUGCCGUAUGGAUGUUCCCAGGCUAGGGGUUGAAUGGGAGCUGCAGCUGCCGGCCUACCCCUCAGCCACAGCAACAUCAGAUCCAAGCCACAUCUGUGACCUACACUGCAGCUGUGACAAUGCCAGAUCCUUCACUGACUGAGCGAGGCCAGGGAUCAACAUCGGAGGCCACAUCAGGUCCUUAACCUAUUGAGCCACAAUGGGAACUCCAGAUCUUUUUUUUCUUUUAAGAUAAACAUAAAUAGAUAAAAUUGUUAGUGUUUUUCAUGGUGCCCCCUAGACUGCAAUAGGAUCAGUAGCGUAUUAGGAGCAUUGGAACACGUGUUUGAUCCCCAGCCUGGCACAGUGGGUUGAGGAUCUGGUGUUGCCGCAGCUACAGCUUAGGUGACAGCUGUGCCUGGGAUGAUCCUUAGCCCAGGUGCUCCAUAUGCCACAGGGCGACCAAAAAUGAAAAAAAAAAAGUUAUUUUUAGCCUUUUUCCCCCUAUCCUGGAGGAAUGUCUUAUGUACCUCCUGGGGGUACCACAGUCCUGAGAAGUUUCACAAUGCUGCAUCUCUCCCUGCAUUCCCCUUGUGUCUAGCAGAUGGUAGGCAAUCUGUGAGUCUUUGAGAAGUAAAUGUAUUUUCCCGUCUUAAACGGUGAAGUUGGAUUACUUCCUGUUAUCUUUUUCCAACCUGCUUUCUUCUAGAAUCUGUUUUCCCAUAACCAACUUCUAAGCUCUAAUUUGAAGGUCUUGACAGAUGGUUUUUUUGUUUGUUUGUUUUGUUUUUCCUAUGGCCGCACCUGCAGCAUAUGGAGGUUCCCAGGCUAGGGGUCGAAUCAGAGCUGUAGCCACCAGCCUACACCAGAGCCACAGCAACGUGGGAUCUGAGCCGCAUCUGCAACCUAUACCACAGCUCAUGGCAACCUAUACCACAGACCACGGUUGGAUCCUUAACCCACCGGGCGAGGCCAGGGAUUGAACCCGCAACCUCAUGGUUCCUAAUCGGAUUCGUUAGCCACUGAGCCAUGAUGGGAACUCCAACAUAUGUUUCUUAGAGGAUGACAUUCCCAAUUACUCAUACUGUAGGACCACGGAACUGUAAGAGAAUAUAAUUUUGGAGCUGAAAGGGGACUUGGAGUUCUGUUAGUCCAAAUCCUUUAUUAAAAUCCAACCAAAAAAUAAAUGAACUGUGGUUAAGUUCAUAGACUGGAAUAUGAUUCAUUAUUAAAAAGAGAAUGGACUAUUGAUAUAGGCAGUGAAUCGUAAAAGAAUUAUGAAGCAUGAAAGAAGUCAGGCAGAAAUCACUACUUAAUGUCUGAUUUCAUGUAUUAAAACUUAUGGAAAAUAUAAACUAUAGUGACAGUAGACAGGGGCUGCCUGAGGAUGAGGAGGGAAGGGACAGCUGGAUUCAGAGGGACACGAGGAAACUUGGGUAUGAUAGUCCAUUAUCAUGUUGUGGUGAUGGUUUUGCAGGUAUAUGCAGAUGCACAACUCAUCAAAUGGUACAUUUUAAAUAUGCACAGUUUAUUAUUAUAUGUCUGUUAGAUAGCAAUAAAGCCAUUUAAAGAAAAAAAAAAAAAAA